AGAGUUUGAUCAUGGCUCAGAUUGAACGCUGGCGGCAGGCCUAACACAUGCAAGUCGAGCGGCAGCACAGAGGAACUUGUUCCUUGGGUGGCGAGCGGCGGACGGGUGAGUAAUGCCUGGGAAAUUGCCCGGUAGAGGGGGGAUAACCAUUGGAAACGAUGGCUAAUACCGCAUAACCUCGCAAGAGCAAAGCAGGGGACCUUCG
This 205-nucleotide ribosomal RNA is filed under the name Vibrio cholerae HC-71A1. Its description in RNAcentral is "partial 16S ribosomal RNA". It matches the Rfam family "Bacterial small subunit ribosomal RNA", at positions 8 to 216 of the family's 1533-position model. The record is from RNAcentral. Lineage: Bacteria; Pseudomonadati; Pseudomonadota; Gammaproteobacteria; Vibrionales; Vibrionaceae.